Molecule: long non-coding RNA, 315 nt
Filed under: Equus caballus (horse)
Lineage: Eukaryota; Metazoa; Chordata; Mammalia; Perissodactyla; Equidae
Description: lncRNA (ENSECAG00000056347.1)
Source: RNAcentral
GCUCAUUGCAGAAUUACUCACAGUCGCUAAGGAAUGGAAACUAUGGAAAUGUCCACCAAUGGAGGAAUGGACAAAGAAAAUAUAUAUACAUACAUACUACAUAUAGAUUCACCAAGAUGGAAUCUGAAACUGUGACAGAAGCAGCUCUGUUUUUCAGGAAACUUGAGUUCUUAUGCAAAAGAACCAGGGUUUAUGGUCUCUUCACGCUGUUUCCAGUAGUCUAGCCUAUCUCUGCUCUCAUGCAAAUUGUCUGAAUGGGACACUGGAAGAAUGCUUUUUUCCGGCAUAUAAUUAAAAUAAUUUUUUAAAACCUGC